Molecule: transfer RNA, 66 nt
Filed under: Amraica recursaria
Lineage: Eukaryota; Metazoa; Arthropoda; Insecta; Lepidoptera; Geometridae
Description: tRNA-Glu
Source: RNAcentral
GUUUAUAUAGUUUACUUAAAAACAUUACAUUUUCACUGUAAAAAUAAAAAAAUUUUUUUAUAAAUA